UACGUAGGGUCCGAGCGUUUGUCCGGAAUUACUGGGCGUAAAGAGCUCGUAGGUGGUUUGUCGCGUUGUUCGUGAAAACUCACAGCUCAACUGUGGGCGUGCGGGCGAUACGGGCAGACUGGAGUACUGCAGGGGAGACUGGAAUUCCUGGUGUAGCGGUGGAAUGCGCAGAUAUCAGGAGGAACACCGGUGGCGAAGGCGGGUCUCUGGGCAGUAACUGACGCUGAGGAGCGAAAGCGUGGGGGAGCGAACAGG
Molecule: ribosomal RNA, 255 nt
Filed under: uncultured bacterium
Lineage: Bacteria
Description: partial 16S ribosomal RNA
Rfam family: Bacterial small subunit ribosomal RNA
Source: RNAcentral